Molecule: ribosomal RNA, 422 nt
Filed under: uncultured bacterium
Lineage: Bacteria
Description: bacterial SSU rRNA
Rfam family: Bacterial small subunit ribosomal RNA
Source: RNAcentral
UGAGGAAUAUUGGUCAAUGGGCGAGAGCCUGAACCAGCCAAGUCGCGUGAAGGAAGAAGGAUCUAUGGUUCGUAAACUUCUUUUGCAGGGGAAUAAAGUGCAGGACGUGUCCUGUUCUGUAUGUACCCUGAGAAUAAGGAUCGGCUAACUCCGUGCCAGCAGCCGCGGUAAUACGGAGGAUCCGAGCGUUAUCCGGAUUUAUUGGGUUUAAAGGGUGCGUAGGUGGUUUGAUAAGUCAGCGGUGAAAGUUUGCAGCUUAACUGUAAAAAUGCCGUUGAAACUGUCGGACUUGAGUGUAAAUGAGGUAGGCGGAAUGCGUGGUGUAGCGGUGAAAUGCAUAGAUAUCACGCAGAACUCCGAUUGCGAAGGCAGCUUACUAAGCUACAACUGACACUGAAGCACGAAAGCGUGGGGAUCAAACA